UACAGAGGAUGCAAGCGUUAUCCGGAAUGAUUGGGCGUAAAGCGUCUGUAGGUGGCUUUUUAAGUCCGCCGUCAAAUCCCAGGGCUCAACUCUGGACAGGCGGUGGAAACUACCAAGCUGGAGUACGGUAGGGGCAGAGGGAAUUUCCGGUGGAGCGGUGAAAUGCGUAGAGAUCGGAAAGAACACCAGUGGCGAAGGCGGUUGCCUGGGGCUUUGCUGACGCUGAUGCGCGAAAGCGUGGGGAGCGAUCCGG
This 253-nucleotide ribosomal RNA is filed under the name uncultured bacterium. RNAcentral's name for it is "partial 16S ribosomal RNA". It matches the Rfam family "Bacterial small subunit ribosomal RNA", at positions 524 to 776 of the family's 1533-position model. The record is from RNAcentral.